GGGGAACUGAAACAUCUAAGUACCCCGAGGAAAAGAAAUCAACCGAGAUUCCCCCAGUAGCGGCGAGCGAACGGGGAGGAGCCCAGAGCCUGAAUCAGUGUGUGUGUUAGUGGAAGCGUCUGGAAAGGCGCGCGAUACAGGGUGACAGCCCCGUACACAAAAAUGCACACAUUGUGAGCUCGAUGAGUAGGGCGGGACACGUGGUAUCCUGUCUGAAUAUGGGGGGACCAUCCUCCAAGGCUAAAUACUCCUGACUGACCGAUAGUGAACCAGUACCGUGAGGGAAAGGCGAAAAGAACCCCGGCGAGGGGAGUGAAAAAGAACCUGAAACCGUGUACGUACA
RNAcentral lists this ribosomal RNA (343 nucleotides) under Escherichia coli. RNAcentral describes it as "partial 23S ribosomal RNA". It matches the Rfam family "Bacterial large subunit ribosomal RNA", at positions 187 to 568 of the family's 2925-position model. The record is from RNAcentral. Lineage: Bacteria; Pseudomonadati; Pseudomonadota; Gammaproteobacteria; Enterobacterales; Enterobacteriaceae.